RNAcentral lists this ribosomal RNA (1313 nucleotides) under Chasmoptera huttii. RNAcentral's name for it is "16S ribosomal RNA". The stretch from base 588 to 1313 matches the Rfam family "Archaeal large subunit ribosomal RNA", at positions 1423 to 2857 of the family's 2987-position model. Lineage: Eukaryota; Metazoa; Arthropoda; Insecta; Neuroptera; Nemopteridae. The record is from RNAcentral.
UUAGAUUCUAAUUACUUUAUAUUUUAUUUUAUUUUAUUAAUUUUUAAUAAAAUUAUUUUACCUAAAUUUUUUUAGUAAUUUAAUGAAAAAAUAAUAAUAGUGAUAGUUAAUUAGUACUGUGAUGGAAUUUUGAAAUAUUAAAUAUUUAUUUUAAAAGUAUAACUUAAUUUUAGUACCUUUUGUAUCAGGGUUUAUUAAUUAAUAAAGAUUUAUUUUCAUUUCCCGAAUUCAAUAGAGUUAAUUUUUUGUGAAGUAUAAUGUUGAAUAAUUAUCUUUAACAUUAAAUUGGUAAUGAAAUGUUAUUCGUUUUUGAAAAUAUCUGGUUUCUUGAGAAUUGAAUUUAAUUCAGUUUAUGAAAUUAUUUUUUCUUAUUUUUAAGAAUAAUUUAUUUUAUAAAAAAGUUUUAUAGGGAUAAGCUUGUAAAAUUUAUAAUAAAUUUAUUUUAGAAUAAAAUUAAUAGGAUUAGAAAUUUUCAUUUUUUUAUAGAAUGUUAUAAUUAAUUUAUUAAAAAUAAAGAUUUAUUAGUUGUUUUUAUUUAUUAUCAGGAAAAAUUUUUUAAUAAGUUAAAAUUUAUAUAAUGAUAAAAUUAGUAUUAUAAUGAAUAAAUUUAAUUGAAUUGUGAAGAUGACAUUAAGGAAUUUAGCAAGAUUACAUCCGCCUGUUUAACAAAAACAUGUCUUUUUGAGAAUAAUUUAAAGUCUAAUCUGCCCACUGAAUAUUUAAAGGGCCGCAGUAAUUUGACUGUGCAAAGGUAGCAUAAUCAUUUGUCUUUUAAAUGAAGGCUUGUAUGAAUGAUUGGACGGGGUGUAAACUGUCUCAACGUUAAAAUAGUAAAAAUUUAGCUUUUUAGUAAAAAGGCUAAAAUUUUUUUGGAGGACGAGAAGACCCUAUAGAUCUUUAUAUAAAUUAUUAAUUAUUUAAAUGGAUAUAAAUAAUUUAAUUAUUAAAUUUUAUAUUUUGUUGGGGUGACAGGAAAAUUGAGUUAACUUUUUUUGGAAGAUAAACAUAAAUUAAUGAAUGUUUGAUCCAUUUAUAGUGAUUAUAAGAACAAGUUACCUUAGGGAUAACAGCGUUAUUUUAUUGGAGAGUUCUAAUCGAUAAUAAAGUUUGCGACCUCGAUGUUGAAUUAAAGAAACUUUAAAGUGCAGCAGCUUUAAGAUGUAGGUCUGUUCGACCUUUAAAACUUUACAUGAUUUGAGUUCAGACCGGUGUAAGCCAGGUCGGUUUCUAUCCUCAAAAAAUAUGAAAUAAUUUAGUACGAAAGGACCAAUUAUUUAAAUUACAUUUUAUAUUAUGAAUAAAAUUAAUUAUUU